UACGUAGGGUGCGAGCGUUAAUCGGAAUUACUGGGCGUAAAGCGUGCGCAGGCGGUUUUGUAAGCCAGAUGUGAAAUCCCCGGGCUUAACCUGGGAAUGGCAUUUGGGACUGCAAGGCUUGAGUGCGGAAGAGGAGACUAGAAUUCCUGGUGUAGCAGUGAAAUGCGUAGAUAUCAGGAGGAAUACCGAUGGCGAAGGCAGGUCUCUGGGCUGACACUGACGCUCAUGCACGAAAGCGUGGGGAGCAAACAGG
RNAcentral lists this ribosomal RNA (253 nucleotides) under uncultured bacterium. RNAcentral's name for it is "partial 16S ribosomal RNA". It matches the Rfam family "Bacterial small subunit ribosomal RNA", at positions 524 to 776 of the family's 1533-position model. The record is from RNAcentral.